GCUCCUCAGGGGGAGAAUAAACCGCAUUAAGCCCUGAGCGUUCCUGCUUAUGCAGGAGGUUGUU
This 64-nucleotide ribozyme is filed under the name Bacillus velezensis UCMB5033. Its description in RNAcentral is "pistol ribozyme". It matches the Rfam family "Pistol ribozyme". The record is from RNAcentral. Lineage: Bacteria; Bacillati; Bacillota; Bacilli; Caryophanales; Bacillaceae.